GAUGAACGCUGGCGGCGUGCCUAAUACAUGCAAGUCGAGCGAACGGACGAGAAGCUUGCUUCUCUGAUGUUAGCGGCGGACGGGUGAGUAACACGUGGAUAACCUACCUAUAAGACUGGGAUAACUUCGGGAAACCGGAGCUAAUACCGGAUAAUAUUUUGAACCGCAUGGUUCAAAAGUGAAAGACGGUCUUGCUGUCACUUAUAGAUGGAUCCGCGCUGCAUUAGCUAGUUGGUAAGGUAACGGCUUACCAAGGCAACGAUGCAUAGCCGACCUGAGAGGGUGAUCGGCCACACUGGAACGGAGAAACGGUCCAGACUCCUACGGGAGGCAGCAGUAGGGAAUCUUCCGCAAUGGGCGAAAGCCUGACGGAGAAACGCCGCGUGAGUGAUGAAGGUCUUCGGAUCUUAAAACUCUGUUAUUAGGGAAGAAAAUAUGUGUAAGUAACUGUGCACAUCGUGACGGUACCUAAUCAGAAAGCCACGGCUAACUACGUG
Molecule: ribosomal RNA, 497 nt
Filed under: uncultured bacterium
Lineage: Bacteria
Description: partial 16S ribosomal RNA
Rfam family: Bacterial small subunit ribosomal RNA
Source: RNAcentral